AAGCUUAGGAUAAACAAACCAAGGGCCUUCAAAGCCCUAAACAAGAGACAACCUCUUAGCCUCUGCUU
Molecule: transfer RNA, 68 nt
Filed under: Draco quadrasi
Lineage: Eukaryota; Metazoa; Chordata; Lepidosauria; Squamata; Agamidae
Description: tRNA-Trp
Source: RNAcentral